Molecule: ribosomal RNA, 253 nt
Filed under: uncultured bacterium
Lineage: Bacteria
Description: partial 16S ribosomal RNA
Rfam family: Bacterial small subunit ribosomal RNA
Source: RNAcentral
UACAGAGGUCCCGAGCGUUGUUCGGAUUCACUGGGCGUAAAGGGUGCGUAGGUGGUGAGGUAAGUCGGAUGUGAAAUCUCCGGGCUUAACCCGGAAACUGCAUUGGAAACUACCUUGCUAGAGGUUUUGAGGGGGGACUGGAAUUCUCGGUGUAGCAGUGAAAUGCGUAGAUAUUGGGAGGAACACCAGUGGCGAAGGCGGCUCACUGGACCGGUACUGACGCUGAUGCGCGAAAGCGUGGGGAGCAAACGGG